RNAcentral lists this unclassified non-coding RNA (263 nucleotides) under plant metagenome. Its description in RNAcentral is "partial contains small subunit ribosomal RNA, internal transcribed spacer 1, and 5.8S ribosomal RNA". The record is from RNAcentral.
UAUCUGUAGGUGAACCUGCGGAAGGAUCAUUAUUGUAUAACCGAGGUGCGAGGGCUGUCGCUGACCCGAAAGGUCGUGCACGCCCGAGUGCCCUCACACACAUCCAUCUCACCCCUAUGUGCACCACCGCGUGGGUCCCCCUUUGGCUUGUUCGGAGGGGGGCUUACGUUUUCACACAAACUUUGUAUGCAGUGUAGAAUGUAUUUUUUGUUUUUGCGAUCACGCAAUCAAUACAACUUUCAACAACGGAUCUCUUGGCUCUC